This 528-nucleotide long non-coding RNA is filed under the name Mustela putorius furo (domestic ferret). Its description in RNAcentral is "lncRNA (ENSMPUG00000027716.1)". The record is from RNAcentral. Lineage: Eukaryota; Metazoa; Chordata; Mammalia; Carnivora; Mustelidae.
AUGUGUAAAUUACUUAUGAUUGAAUUCCUAACCCUAUAUUCCUAUAUUCAUCAUUUUGAAUGUUCCAGAUAUCUUUCGUGUUUUAACAUUUGCUACAAGAUUUCCAGACAGUGCCUGAUAUAUGGGAACAACAGGAUACCAGUGCUUCAGAAUGGAAAUGUGACUACUUUAGAUGAGAUGCCAAGUUCAUUUAAUCAUUUAGGUACUCAUAUAUUUAAAAAAAAGAAAAAAGUGUGUCUGCUUUCUAUGUGUCAGAUGCUACAGUGGGAGCUCAAGAUAAAGUGGGAAACAAGAUCCACAAAGUCCUGUCCUUACGCAGUUUACAUUCAAAUAUGGUAUUGUGUCCUCUGUAAAUUUAAGCCAAAUACUUCCACCAGCAAUGUUGAUUUUCUGGUAACAGUCAUGAACUCAUCCUGCCUGGUAACAUGGCAUUUUAUGAUAUACGAAUUCCCAUCUUCCCUGCUAUAUCAAGGUCUUUUUCCAUUUCUGCAUGUAUUGUAUUUUUUUGACCAACCAUUUAUUUAGCAU